GAGCCGUUUUGUACAACUUUUAGUCUUGCCUGAUCGAUGCAUUCAAAGAAACUUUCUCUUUUUCCUAUUGAAGGCAGCUUGCAUGGGAUCAACAUACGGCAUGGGAAACACUAAAGAAGAAGGUGCACAUUAACCAAAAAGAAGGCAAAAGACCUAUGAAAACAUGACUAAAUCAUGAAAAACAAAAUGAGACAGGACAUACCCAAAAUGAGUGGGAUGGGCACAUGAUAGGCCGAAAACCAGAGAUAAACGAUGGUCCAGCUGUGCAAGAAGAAUC
RNAcentral lists this long non-coding RNA (277 nucleotides) under Hordeum vulgare. RNAcentral's name for it is "long non-coding RNA (HVUL_LNC020982)". The record is from RNAcentral. Lineage: Eukaryota; Viridiplantae; Streptophyta; Magnoliopsida; Poales; Poaceae.